GUGCUUACUACGGCAGCACAUAUACUAAAAUUGGAACGAUACAGAGAAGAUUAGCAUGGCCCCUGCACAAGGAUGACAUGCAAAUUUGUGAAGCGUUCCAUAUUUAA
This is a small nuclear RNA of Carlito syrichta (Philippine tarsier), 107 nucleotides long. The record is from Ensembl. NCBI's taxonomy places the organism in Eukaryota, Metazoa, Chordata, Mammalia, Primates, Tarsiidae.